Molecule: ribosomal RNA, 419 nt
Filed under: uncultured prokaryote
Description: bacterial SSU rRNA
Rfam family: Bacterial small subunit ribosomal RNA
Source: RNAcentral
UGAGGAAUUUUGCGCAAUGGGGGCAACCCUGACGCAGCGACGCCGCGUGCGGGAUGAAGGAGCUUUGCUUCGUAAACCGCUGUCGGAUAGGAAGAAAAACGGUAAGAACCGUCGGGACAGUACUAUCAAAGGAAGCACCGGCUAACUACGUGCCAGCAGCCGCGGUAAUACGUAGGGUGCGAGCGUUGUCCGGAAUUACUGGGUGUAAAGGGUGCGCGGGCGGAUUUGCGCGUCGAAGGUUAAAGACCUUGGCUUAACCAAGGAAGUGCGCUCGAUACGGCAAGUCUUGAAUGUGAGAGAGGAUGGUAGAAUUCCUGGUGUAGCGGUGAAAUGCGUAGAUAUCAGGAGGAAUACCGGUGGCGAAGGCGGCCAUCUGGCUCAUUAUUGACGCUUAGGCACGAAAGCGUGGGGAGCGAACA